AAAAAUAAAUUACAAUAGAAGAAUGAAGCUACUAAUAUUUCCCAGCAUCAUUAACUUUCAUUCCAACUCAAUUUUAUAAGUUUAUAUGGUCCAAAAAUUACCUGAACAGCAGAAAGAAGAACAAAUACAGCAAAGUUAGAUCUUUCCAAAAUCAACAUCAAAAUAAUUAAAUGGGCAGCAACAACAGCAAUAGACAGUGAUGGCAGAUUCGAAUCCAAGAAAACAAAUUCAGCUCACAAUUUCAACUCUGAAGGGAUAUUAUAGCUAUAGCUACAUAUUAUUAUUAUUAUUAUUAUUAUUAUUAUUAUUAUUAUUAUUAUUAUUAUUAUUAAUAUUAUUAUUAUUAUUAUUAUUAUUAUUAUUAUUAUUAUUGUCUGUCCAGUCCCCCUCUGGAAGUGUGUUCCUCCUCUUAUUAAGUGUGAUGAAAUACCCCUAUAUAUCAAAAUAAAUAUCUAUUUCAAAAAUUCAAAAGAUAAUCUUUUUGACAGAUUUUCUACAAAGUCUGCUCUUAAAUUCAAAAAGCAAUGCUUUCUCGACCAAAUCUUGUCAAAAGAGAGAGUAUUUCAAACAAAAUCUUCCUUUUGUUGUUCAAGGAUAGACUUUUGUUCAAAAAUUGUCCACAAGUCUAUAUUCCUUCCCAAGCAAAUGACUUUUGAGUUCUGUACUCAAAAAGUCUUGAAGUAGUAAAUAAACAAACAAACAAAUACUAUAUACUCUUAUGUAUUUUUCACUACUUCACUUUUAUCAGUACAAAACUUAUUUUACAAUAUCACCAAGUGCAAAAACAAAAAAUUUAAAAUUUCAAACUUCAAAAACUAAUACUAAAAUAAUUAAUAAAAAAAAUCUUAAAAUUAAAUAUUAAAAAUUAAAAUCAACCAUGAAAAAUAAUAGCACUUUACCGUUUUACAAUUCAAAUGGCCGAAGAAAUGGUGGUAUGCCAAGAAGGAUGUUCCGGCAGGUCGCCGGAUUUUUGGACGGAUUUUGGUCGCCGGAUUUUUGAGGUAGAAUUGACAUCAAUAGCUAGGUCUUGAGGAACUCUAUCCGUUGAUGUAUGUAUU
RNAcentral lists this long non-coding RNA (1058 nucleotides) under Nicotiana benthamiana. Its description in RNAcentral is "long non-coding RNA (NBEN_LNC025598)". The record is from RNAcentral. Lineage: Eukaryota; Viridiplantae; Streptophyta; Magnoliopsida; Solanales; Solanaceae.